This 434-nucleotide ribosomal RNA is filed under the name uncultured bacterium. Its description in RNAcentral is "partial 16S ribosomal RNA". It matches the Rfam family "Bacterial small subunit ribosomal RNA", at positions 29 to 507 of the family's 1533-position model. The record is from RNAcentral.
AGCGAACGCUGGCGGCAGGCCUAACACAUGCAAGUCGAACGAACCUUUCGGGGUUAGUGGCGGACGGGUGAGUAACACGUGGGAACGUGCCUUUAGGUUCGGUAUAACUCAGGGAAACUUGUGCUAAUACCGAAUGUGCCCUUCGGGGGAAAGAUUUAUCGCCUUUAGAGCGGCCCGCGUCUGAUUAGCUAGUUGGUUGAGGUAAUGGCUCACCAAGGCGACGAUCAGUAGCUGGUCUGAGAGGAUGAUCAGCCACAUUGGGACUGAGACACGGCCCAAACUCCUACGGGAGGCAGCAGUGGGGAAUCUUGCGCAAUGGGCGAAAGCCUGACGCAGCCAUGCCGCGUGAAUGAUGAAGGUCUUAGGAUUGUAAAAUUCUUUCACCGGGGACGAUAAUGACGGUACCCGGAGAAGAAGCCCCGGCUAACUUCGUG